UAGUCCACGCCGUAAACGAUGGAUACUAGGUGUCCGGGAAGUUAACCUCCUGGGUACUACAGCUAACGCGUUAAGUAUCCCGCCUGGGGUGUACGGUCGCAAGGCUAAAACUCAAAGGAAUUGACGGGGGCCCGCACAAGCGGUGGAGUAUGUGGUUUAAUUCGAAGCAACGCGCAGAACCUUACCUACCCUUAACAUUUCACGCUCGCCUCAGAGAUGAGGUUUUCUCUUCGGAGACGUGAGGAUAGGUGCUGCAUGGCUGUCGUCAGCUCGUGUCGUAAGAUGUCUGGUUAAGUCCAAUAACGAGCGCAACCCUUAUCCAUAGUUACCAGCAUUAAGUUGGGGACUCUAGGGAGACUGCCGGUGUUAAACCGGAGGAAGGCGGGGAUGACGUCAAGUCCUCAUGGCCCUUACGGGUAGGGCUACACACGUACUACAAUGGCAGAUACAAACCGUUUGCAAAGCCGCGAGGUUGAGCUAAUCGGUAAAACACUGUCCCAGUCCGGAUUGGAGUCUGCAACUCGACUCCA
Molecule: ribosomal RNA, 530 nt
Filed under: uncultured bacterium
Lineage: Bacteria
Description: bacterial SSU rRNA
Rfam family: Bacterial small subunit ribosomal RNA
Source: RNAcentral